UGAGCCUUUUGGGGGAAGACAAUCUUUCUUCGGGUAAAAUGGUAUUUUUCCAGAGAGGCUUCUAGGGACCACCAAUUGUGGUUUUUCAGGAGAUGUGGCAUGGCAGGAUGAGAGCCAGAGACAGCGUCGUUGGGCGGGGUGGUAGGAAAUGACUCAGGGGGCUGAGGAUGAUCGCCGUGAAGUGGGAAGGAGCACCCAAAUCUGGUCACAGCGUGAGGACAAGACGAUGGUCAUUUUUAGCUGAAGGGAUGUUGAUGACAUUGGGAUACGUUACAUGGCAGUACAGGUUUUUUUGUUUUUGUUUUUUUUUGAGAUAUUAGCCAGUGAUCUACUUCUCUGUUCCCUUGUUCAACCUCAUGCAAGCCAAUGGCCCUCUGUGUGCGUGGCCCGAGUGGAGGAGCGCGAGAAGCAUUAAACAAGGGGACACAGGCAGGGGACACAGGAGGAGACCAGCUUAUCAUUUAUCAGAAAGAAGGCAGGUCAGGCCUCCUGAGGGGCUGUCACGCCGCUGGAAAGCUCAGAAAGUCCCCCCACCUGGCAUAGCCGUAGAGCAAGAGGAUGCCACAUUUGGGUCACCUGGUGUGUGUAAGUGCUACAAGGCUGCAGCCUGAAGGCAUGUGACGAUUCUUUUGCAAUAACAAGUCACAAUGGGGGACACUUUCACUUCAUAUAUCCUGCAGCUUUACUUGAAGUUGCUCAAAUAAGCAGUUUGCCAGCCUGGUCCCUGAAUUAGCUCUCUGAUGAAAGCUUACAUUUACCCUCUGGCCCUUUGCACCACUCUAUCCCCGACCAGUGGGCUUUCCCUUGCAGACGUCUCUUCUCUUCCAGGUGGAGAAAAGAGCCAACGGCCGGCGGAACUGUCCUAUGAGCUGGUGUGCGAACAGGCAGGAAGGUGCCGGAUGGGAGCAGUGGUGUCCCUAUUGCCCGAAGCUUGGACUAUGAGAGGCGGGUGGCUCCAGCCCUGAAACCAGCUGCUGUCACAAGGAGUCAUGCUGAUGGCCUUCACGAGGCUUUGGGUGUCUCCAGUACAAAUGAAAACCCGCGAGACCCGUGUCCUGUCUCUGGGAUUGGGCCAGCACACAAAGCCCAAAGAGCAACUAAUUCCUAGUGGACUAAAUGUGAACCUUGCUUUUCAUUUUUCUUUCUUUUUGGACCAGGAGGAAGAAAAGUCAUGUCGUACAUACUCUAGUUAUUCAUUAUUUUCUUUCUCUCUUUCUUUCCUUCUUUCUUUUUUCUGAAUCAGAAUUUCUUCAAGUGUUAGUUAAAAUUAGCAUUUCUGAUAGCAUUUCUUGAGAUUUUUGGGAGGCAUGGUGGUCAGGACAAUUGAAGCAUUACUAAAAAUACUAUCAAAAUGUACAAAAAAAUGUACAGAAGUUAGUUCAUGGCAACCAAUAAAAAUGCCCUCAUAUAGACAUAGUUAGAAGACAUGAGCAUAACAUUCCAAAGUAAGGAAAUACAAUGAAUCGACAAGUAUGCAAUAAACUAGUCAAAGUUGUUGCCUUGGGUUCUCCAGCGACAGAGAACCACAAGGUUGUACAAGUGUCUGUGUGUGUGAGUGCAUAGGGAGAUAGGCAGGUAGAGGGAUGGAUGGAUGGAUAGAUGCAAGGAAUCAGCUCAUGUGAGGAUCUGCACAAGGGCUCUACAAUCUGGAGAAUCAGAAUUGCUGAAGGUAUAGUUCUGAUCCAACAGCCAUCAGGCUCAAGACUCAAAGAAGAGUUGACGUUUCAGUUCAAGUCUGGAGGCAGACAAAAACCAAUGUCCUGGUUCAAAGGCUGUCGAGCAGGAAGAAUUCCCUCUUACUUGGAGAAGAGUCAGAUUUUUGUUCGAUUCAAGCCUUCAGCUGAUCAGAUGAGACCCACCCCCAUGAGGGAAGGCAGUCUGCUUGACUUAGUCUAUGCACUGAAAUAUUAAUCUUAUUCCAAAACACCCUCACAGAAAUGCUUGGGGUCAUUUUUGACCAGGUAUCUGGGCACCCCGUGGCCUAGUUGAUUUGACACACGGAAUUAACCACCACAGUUAACAAAAAAGACUCAUAUGAAAAAGAAAUGAUAUUUUUUAACCUUUAAAUCUUGUAAUUAAACAUUGAGUGCUCAGGUACAUUGCUGAUAUGACUAUAAAUAACAACAAGCCUUGUGUAUUUGAGAAAAUUAUUUACUUGGCAAAGCAUGUUGGCAAAAAUCUUAAAUGUUCACAGACUUUGAUUCAGUAUUCCUAUUUUGGGGAAUCUUUCUAAGAUAGUAGUCGCAACACAUGUGGAAAAAUUAGACAGAUACCAAAAUCAUUAUCAUGGUGUACUCAGAAUAGUAAUAGAAAUAAAGAAAACGAUCUAAAGCUUGACAAUAUAAAAAUGAAUAAUUAGAGCAUGAUACACUUAGGUAACAAAAGAGCCAAAAUUCAUUCAAAUAUUUGUAAAGUUUCUACAAUGUGAAAUGUGCUCAUGUAUGGUGAACAAGCACAGUCAUAAUUACUAUACAAAAUAGCUAUAAAAAUGCUAAAAAAAUCUCAAAAAUAUUUGAGAAGUUACUUGGUGGUAGUAAAUUAUAGAUGGCCUCUAUUUUACCUUUCAUAAUGGUUUUAUUAAAAUCAAAGAACUUAAUCUGAUAAUUCAGCUCAGUUCAACUUCCUGUUUCUUCUUUUAUGAUUUAAAAACCAUCAGCAGCAUAAACCAUGUUCUAAGUUCAGAGAAUGCUACAUAGAUUGGAUAGCAAAACUCCCUUAUAGGAUUUAUUUUAACCGGAACAAAACUACUAUUCUCUAAUUUUUCAUCUGGCAAAUAUUUUGGGGCCAUUUUCUGGAAAUGAGGUAUUAUCUACCAGAGGAAGUAACCCUGUAGACCUUUGCUUUAUAAUGCGAAUCCGUGUGUCGGUGUUUUACACAUAAAUGUAGGUCAGAAUAUAAAGCUUAUAUUAGGAACAUAGGGGAGUAAACAUUCAUUACUCAGAGUGUUUACUUGCCCGCACGGAGAAUAUAAUAAAAGAUAUUGCAGACUGAAAAACUUUGGUUGCAAACGCUAAAUCAGUUUGGGGCGGGGGGGUUCGUUAGCUUAGCUUUGAUGUUCUCCUGGACAUAAUUUUGUGAAAACAGUGAUAUUUAGUAAUGCAAAACUCUUCUUUCAAACUCUCGUGGACUGUGCUCAGGGAAGAGAGGACAAGGGAUCUAUACUGACUGAGUGUUUUUUGACAAGUUGAGAAGUGCAUCCUCCACUUGGGAGAGA
Molecule: long non-coding RNA, 3214 nt
Organism: Neofelis nebulosa (Clouded leopard)
Lineage: Eukaryota; Metazoa; Chordata; Mammalia; Carnivora; Felidae
Exons: 3
Source: RefSeq, a predicted model, not a curated record